This is a long non-coding RNA of Passer montanus (Eurasian tree sparrow), 463 nucleotides long. RefSeq lists it as uncharacterized. Lineage: Eukaryota; Metazoa; Chordata; Aves; Passeriformes; Passeridae. The record is from RefSeq and is a predicted model, not a curated record. The transcript is spliced from 3 exons.
AUUACGCUGUUACCACAUUCAGAUACUUGGAAAUCAGCCUUAAAAUCCAGGAUGUGAGAAGGAAAUGAGCAAACGCAUCCUGCUGUUGUUCUGCCUGCUUAGGGAUUGCAAGGCAAAUGUGUCCAUGCAGGUCCAGCCGUUUUGCCCGCUCUCUAGGAAAGAAGAUCCUGUUCACGUAAAAUCAAAACUGUAUGGAGAAGGAACUAGACUGUGCCUCCCACAAGACAUUGGCUGUCACCUCCUCUCUGCCUCCACAGACGCAGGAAACUCCUGGGAAAUUGUUUCUGAAGUAAACGAACCCUGGAGCCACAAUGCCACUUGGACAGGAUUUAUGGACAGCUUUUCAAAACAAGCAGGCGAAAAAUGCAUGUGCAUCCAAAGGAAGCUUGGGCAAAGAUGGCUUUGGUUUUCUUCUUUGUUUUUGUUUACUGGUAAAAAGUUGAACUUUUAAAUAAAUGAAUAA